Molecule: ribosomal RNA, 400 nt
Filed under: uncultured bacterium
Lineage: Bacteria
Description: bacterial SSU rRNA
Rfam family: Bacterial small subunit ribosomal RNA
Source: RNAcentral
UUAGGAAUAUUCGACAAUGGGGGAAACCCUGAUCGAGCGAUGCCGCGUGAACGAUGACGGUCGAAAGAUUGUAAAGUUCUGUUAUAGGGGACGAACAAUUGCCAUAGGAAAUGAUGGUAAUCUGACGGUACCCUAUGAGAAAGCCCCGGCUAACUACGUGCCAGCAGCCGCGGUAAUACGUAGGGGGCGAGCGUUAUCCGGAUUUAUUGGGCGUAAAGCGUGUGUAGGCGGUUUAUUAAGUUUAAGAUCAAAGCCCGGAGCUUAACUCCGGUACGUCUUAAAAACUGGUAGACUUGAGUACAGUAGAGGCAAGCGGAAUUUCUAGUGUAGCGGUUAAAUGCGUAGAUAUUAGAAGGAACACCAGUGGCGAAGGCGGCUUGCUGGGCUGUUACUGACGCUG